GGAGAGAUGGCUGAGCUGGUCUAAGGCGCACGACUGGAAAUCGUGUAUGGGCUAAUACCCCAUCAAGGGUUCGAAUCCCUUUCUCUCCGCCA
RNAcentral lists this transfer RNA (92 nucleotides) under Clostridia bacterium. Its description in RNAcentral is "tRNA-Ser". It matches the Rfam family "tRNA". From Rfam's summary of the family: Transfer RNA (tRNA) molecules are approximately 80 nucleotides in length. Their secondary structure includes four short double-helical elements and three loops (D, anti-codon, and T loops). Lineage: Bacteria; Bacillati; Bacillota; Clostridia. The record is from RNAcentral. RNAcentral also lists the same sequence under 3 other names.